AGCGGGGUGGAGCAGUUGGCAGCUCGUCAGGUUCAUGCCCUGAAGGCCGCAGGUUCAAGUCCUGCCCCCGCUACCA
RNAcentral lists this transfer RNA (76 nucleotides) under Methylovulum psychrotolerans. RNAcentral describes it as "tRNA-Met". It matches the Rfam family "tRNA". Rfam says of the family: Transfer RNA (tRNA) molecules are approximately 80 nucleotides in length. Their secondary structure includes four short double-helical elements and three loops (D, anti-codon, and T loops). The record is from RNAcentral. Lineage: Bacteria; Pseudomonadati; Pseudomonadota; Gammaproteobacteria; Methylococcales; Methylococcaceae.